This is an RNA transcript of Patiria miniata (bat star), 4195 nucleotides long. It is a transcript of the gene named tyrosine-protein kinase receptor Tie-1-like, with no coding region annotated. Lineage: Eukaryota; Metazoa; Echinodermata; Asteroidea; Valvatida; Asterinidae. The transcript has 3 exons. The record is from RefSeq and is a predicted model, not a curated record.
UGUAAAAGACCUACAACACCACCGCUCAUAACAAUGAAUGAUCUACUGUUGUGUUUCCACUAUUUUCAAAACAUGAUUCCCAUCCCCUCCAAAAAUAAUAAUAACACCACAUUUAUUUUCUAAUAUUUAGCACCUGUUGGAGGGCUUUCGACCGGGGCAAUCGUUGGCAUCAGUUGUGGCUGCGUGUUGGUGGGCCUUAUUCUGAUCGGCCUUGGGAUCUACCUCUGCUGCGCCCACGACGGCUGCAUCUGGUGCGGAGAACACUGCCCCUGCUGCAGAGAACACUGCCCAUGCUGCAGAAAACCACCGAAAGAUGGAGACGAAAAUAUCGGCAUGAAUAAUAAAGGAGACGAGAGACCUUGAUUGGAGCGAAAUGGGGACAGCGAAGAGGAUCAUAAAACCGAAAGGGACCUUUCUUAAAGGACCUUUGUUUCUACCUGCGAAGAGCCCCCGAAAAUAUGUUCUUUGGAGCGUGGGACUUAAGAGUUUCAUUUCCCGAUUUAUUUUCGAGUUUCAGUACAAAAAAGAUAGAUCUCUUUUCUUAAUUUCCUUCUUCUAACAUUUCAAAAGUGAUUAACUUUUAAAUGAUUUACCGACCAAAAACAAUGGCCCACGUUUAGUAACUAAAUUGUUAAUUACAAAUUUCGAAUUACUUGCGGCUCGACAACAGCUCAAUUGUCAUUGGUGGGUUGGUCUCGCCCCAUAAUCAGUGUCGAUAAUGUAUGGACCAGGAUACAAUCUGCUCUCAAUCUGGAUCGGUUUGUACCCAGAAUAAACACAUUUUUCAGAGUGUUAUACACCCCGCCCCCACAAAAAAAAAUUACAAUGGAUUUUUUCCCAGCUCUGUUCAUCUAAAAACGGAGACGUUCUUGCUUUUACUUUAUGCUAUAUAGAUUGCUGUGUGCAUACUUCACUUUAGUGAUUAUUGUUUCAAAAGUCAACAUUUAACCAAUUGUGAAUAUCAUUCUUUCAUUAAUGAAAUUUACCUCUAGUUAAACUUAUCACUCUCUUUAUAACUCUAUGAGAAACUGUUUAACAUUGUUUACGAACAAAUGCUAAAUGUUCAUCAUUAAGUCCGCUGUACAAAAACAUAUUUAAUUUCAAUCACCAUUUUGGUGAUUUCUUUUUGUGAGUAUUUGGGAUUCUCUUCAAGGACUAUAAUGUGCUGUAAAUACAUUGCUUGUGUAGGAUUUAUAGUGUCAGAAUUUGUGGAAUUUGUGGUGUUAAGUAAUUCAUCGCUCACUCAGAAUAGACUACAUUUUACCCAGAGUGCACUUUAUACGAUUACAUUUAAAGUUUUCGCAAACAUGAGUAAUUCACCAGUGUAUGACACCUUUAUCUCAAGAUGUCGGUAGCGGAUGUGGAAACCGUAGUUACUGCAUGUGAAUAUGCCAUUGUUGCCUGUAGCAAUAGUUGUGAAAUCUACGUUAGGAAAUAGUAGGGAUAUAGUAUCUGUCUAAGUAUACAUGUACAUUACGAUAAUGAUAUUUCACCCCGCGCAGUGUCCUUACUCAGUGAUAUACAUUUUGGAAUUGAUCAUAAACAAUUUCAACCUAAAUAGUAGCUAUUGAAGGAAUUUGGUGACAUUGUAGAGUGUUGGAAAAAUUGCUAAUUUUAUAUCAACUGACAAAACUAGCGAACGAUGGGAAUGAGUAAUACUUAAUUCUGUUUGUAAAGAGGUUUUUAAAACUAAUAUUUAAUCGGCACAUUGUUAUUACUCUAUAAGUAUCGGUUAAUGGUGUGUAUCACUGAAUAUGUUGAAACAGUAUAAUUUGUACCUACAUGUAUAAAUAUUAACUAGUACAGUGUAUUUGUUUACCCAGAAAGUAUGCUUAUAAGUAUGUAGGUGUUGAAUAAGACAUUUGAAUAGGAAUGUUAGACUUUUCAAUGGCUGAACGUGAAAUUGAAGAACCUGAAAACAAACGAAGAUUCCCUUUAUUUCUAGUGCCAUAAACAAGACACUCAUAUAAUAUUUUGUAAAUAAUGCAUCGAUAAUUUUUUUUUUAAUUGCAAGUAUUUAAAAGUCGGGAUUUUGUUGGAUUGAUGGAAAUUAAUAUAUACUGGGCAGAUUUUAAUGUAGAAAUCGUCUGGAAUGGAGCCAAACAAAAACGCCUACAAUGCUUAAAUACAUAACACACGCUAUGUGUAUCAUGCACAAUGACCACUGUAGUCCCCGCCCCCAAUUUACCAUCCCUCAUCCGAAUUUUGUAGAGUAUCCGGGCGAUGGUUAGAGAAUUUGGGAACAAUUCCUUCUCAAUGCAAAAUGUAUUUCUAUAAGCUAACCAGCACAAGAUCCCUGUUCCUCACAAAUCUGCUCCCGAAUUGUAAGUAUACAUUUUAAACUUCCCAGAAUCGUCCGGUUGCAGGGGGACACAUUUGAGUUUGUUAUCUUCCCAGUCCUCGUGGUUAACCUGAAUUUGUUUGACGUGUACAUUUGCUUUCAUUUUAAAGAAUAUAGACAUUAGCCAAGAUUUGCAUAAUAUAGCGUAUUUCGUUUAAUCAGAGGGUAAUUUGUCUUUACGCUUUAGUAUAUAUUAGAGCCUUUACUGUAGCCAUGUAGACGCUAUUUUCAUUUAAAAAAAAAAAGGUUUUCUAAGUUUGAUCAUGAUGGGUGUUACUUCAACGCGUCAUUCCAACUGCGCAUACUCGAAUGAAGAUUUGGCGAUUUUCUUUCCGGGGAAAACACAGGAGAAAUUCCUGUUCUACAUCAAGGAGCAAAAGUAAUCAAAAACCUUUUGACCGCACUGUUUUUAAAGUGCAUGCAUUUUUCCGGUUUUCUAUUUUGUUUGAAAACGUUAAAGGCCAUAUCGUUCAUCUCCUUUGAUAAGAAAUGUCAAUGCUAACAUUGUAAAGUGACCCUUUCAGCUGCUGCUGUUGAAAACCAAUAAAUGAAAUAAAAUAAAUAAAUAAAAAUGUCGAAAAUGUGGUAUGUUAUAUCCUCCUGAUGAGAUUUCCUUCAUACAAAAUCGGCAAAUAUGUAUGUUGCUCGUGCGCAGUUGGAAAAGGUACGGUGUAAAUAAAACUUAAUGUAUGGAUCAUGAUAAAGUAGGUAUAGUUAUAGUAUGACGAACAAUAACAAUCGUUCAAAAAAAAAAACCCUCUACAAAGCAUUUAUCGAUAUUGUAUUUACAACAUAUUUCGUAUUUGUUUCUUUUAUGGAAGUAUAGCAUUCGUAUAGUCUGGUCCCCAGACCAAAAUAUUCUGACUAUUUAUGAUGAAUAUAAGGUCACGGCACGUGACCAAAAGGGGAGGAAUGCCUCCCGUUUUCGAAAAUGUCCGAAGUUUGCCGAAUGCAUUUCGUCGACACUCGGAUAGCGCCCGGGUAAUUCCGUGUAUAAAAUAGCUGUUAUUUACCAGCUGUGCUUAUUACAAUUUAAAAAUGAGUUGGAAAUUAAUAUUCAUUUCUUGCAUUUGAAAAAACCUUACAAUUCAAUGACGAUUUUGUGCAUCAAGUAUGCACUCAAAUCGUCCGAGGAGCUAGCUUUGCUGCGUCAUGUACUAUUUUGAAUCUGACAAUGGUUACCUAGGUGUAUAUCAAAACUCGGCGUCGUCUCCAUUUCGGCUUCGCGUGCUAUAUUGGUCCCUUACUUUGAAGAAUCCAACUCAACAGGAGUCGAUGUUUUCUUACAGAAAUAUCAAACUGUAUGCUGUAUGGAGCAAGUGAUUUUCUUUUUAUUUGAUCUGAAGUGAGGAACAGUACAAGCUUUUAACGAUAAACCUGAAGCUGAAGAAAAACCGAGCUUUUUUUAUUUUUAGUCGUGGCGGCUGCCUGACCUAAGAUUCGUCAGAAAUAAUAGUCAGAUUUUGUUGGUAUGGGAACCAGACUAGCACUCUUAUAGAUGAUCACUGUACAAGAAUUAUACCUAAUAAAGCAACAAUUAAGCACAUUAUUAACCGGAGUAGGACAAACACUUUCAUUUGAAAGAAAAAAUGGGACAAGCAGCCACACAUUGGAUAUUGUAUACAAUGGAUACAACCCAUUUUUCUUGAAAUCAAGGAAUUCGUGAAUGAUCCAGAAGAGUUGGUCUGUAAAUCAGUCUAAUCCUGCAAUUGUGAUUGUUCUUUCGCCGUUUAUAAAUGAUAUUGUCGGUAUUGCAUGACUGUAUUUUGCAUCACAGUGUAAAUGGGUUAUUAAAGUGGCAGCUGCACCUGAUAAAGACAGUUCAUUUGUUAGGUGGCAGUUUUUGUUGUGAUC